GGAAUAUUGCACAAUGGGCGAAAGCCUGAUGCAGCAACGCCGCGUGAGCGAUGAAGGCCUUCGGGUCGUAAAGCUCUGUCCUCAAGGAAGAUAAUGACGGUACUUGAGGAGGAAGCCCCGGCUAACUACGUGCCAGCAGCCGCGGUAAUACGUAGGGGGCUAGCGUUAUCCGGAUUUAUUGGGCGUAAAGAGAACGCAGGCGGUCUUUUAAGUCUGAUGUGAAAGGCUACGGCUCAACCGUAGUAAGCCUUUGAAACUGGGAAACUUGAGUGCAGGAGAGGAGAGUGGAAUUCCUAGUGUAGCGGUGAAAUGCGUAGAUAUUAGGAGGAACACCAGUUGCGAAGGCGGCUCUCUGGACUGUAACUGACACUGAGGCACGAAAGCGUGGGGAGC
RNAcentral lists this ribosomal RNA (393 nucleotides) under uncultured bacterium. RNAcentral describes it as "bacterial SSU rRNA". It matches the Rfam family "Bacterial small subunit ribosomal RNA", at positions 358 to 769 of the family's 1533-position model. The record is from RNAcentral.